AAAGACAUAGUUGAGACAUAUCAAAUAUGCAAUCCACAGUUCAAGUAUUCUGAAGAAUUAAAUCCAAAAAGAUAUUUGACCAGCCCAUCAAUUGGCGUCCUGAAUGAUGGUUAUGACAAUGUGAAUUCUGAUCUGAUUCUGACUGUAAACUUUGCCUUGGUCAAUCUAGAGGCACAGAGAAGAUACAUUGUCAAAGAUGUUCUUGGCCAUGG
Molecule: unclassified non-coding RNA, 212 nt
Filed under: Hevea brasiliensis (rubber tree)
Lineage: Eukaryota; Viridiplantae; Streptophyta; Magnoliopsida; Malpighiales; Euphorbiaceae
Source: RNAcentral